This 200-nucleotide long non-coding RNA is filed under the name Lathyrus oleraceus (garden pea). Its description in RNAcentral is "Pisum sativum (pea) long non-coding RNA (PSAT_LNC011573)". Lineage: Eukaryota; Viridiplantae; Streptophyta; Magnoliopsida; Fabales; Fabaceae. The record is from RNAcentral.
AAUUUUGUGAUUUUUGAAUUGUUUUAAUUGAUUUUUAAAUACUUCUGACUUUCAAAAAAUUCCCAAAAAUUUAUUCAAUGGUCCUUUGACCUUGUUUGACCUAUGAUAAAUCCCUUGACCAUUUCUUUGGUGAUUUGAAGGGAUUUUAGGUUUUUGACCUUUUAAAAUGUAUUUUCUUCAUUUUUAAAAAUUGAUUUAAA